GAGUUUGAUCUUGGCUCAGAUUGAACGCUGGCGGCAUGCCUUACACAUGCAAGUCGAACGGCAGCACGGGAGCUUGCUCCUGGUGGCGAGUGGCGAACGGGUGAGUAAUGCAUCGGAACGUAUCCUGGAGUGGGGGAUAACGUAGCGAAAGUUACGCUAAUACCGCAUAUUCUGUGAGCAGGAAAGCGGGGGACCUUCGGGCCUCGCGCUCUUGGAGCGGCCGAUGUCGGAUUAGCUAGUUGGUGAGGUAAAGGCUCACCAAGGCGACGAUCCGUAGCAGGUCUGAGAGGAUGAUCUGCCACACUGGAACUGAGACACGGUCCAGACUCCUACGGGAGGCAGCAGUGGGAAUUUUGGACAAUGGGGG
This 367-nucleotide ribosomal RNA is filed under the name bacterium enrichment culture clone ALO1_GLFRUDD03GMOAK. RNAcentral describes it as "bacterial SSU rRNA". It matches the Rfam family "Bacterial small subunit ribosomal RNA", at positions 9 to 377 of the family's 1533-position model. The record is from RNAcentral.